This 395-nucleotide unclassified non-coding RNA is filed under the name Nanogalactia pretiosa. RNAcentral describes it as "Galactia pretiosa partial external transcribed spacer". The record is from RNAcentral. Lineage: Eukaryota; Viridiplantae; Streptophyta; Magnoliopsida; Fabales; Fabaceae.
GAACGGUUGGCACGCUGCCCUUUUUGUUUCUAUCAUAUGUGCCAUAGAGCGCUUUGGUGGUUUGCCUUGGGGUUCCUGUGUUGCCUACCAUGGAAAUGGUAUUUGAUUAUCUUGGAAUAAUUGUUCCAUCCAGGUCUCCUUGCGGAGAUGAUGGUGGAUCGGUGCAAUGCAUAAGUUCCACUUUAGUUUUGUCUUGUGAGAGAAAGACUACUGUGGUAUGUAAUGCAGUUGUUGUUCUUUUGGAUGCGGUGAGUGCAUGCAAUGAACGUGGCUUCGAUUGUCCCGUUUAGUUAUAAAUAUCUGGUUGCCUUAGAAUGACUUGCCCUGGUGCUUGUUGCGUUUUCCAUUGAGGAAGACAACGCUUGCACCUUGAGCGUGGUCACGAAUGGGUGCUA